Molecule: non-coding RNA, 113 nt
Organism: Acanthosepion pharaonis
Lineage: Eukaryota; Metazoa; Mollusca; Cephalopoda; Sepiida; Sepiidae
Source: the annotation of a GenBank genome assembly
UACAGCCAUAACACUUUGAAACACCGGUUCUUGUAUGAUCACCAAAGUUAAGCAACAUCAAGCCUGGUCAGUACCUUGAUGGGUGUCUUCUUCAGAAUACUAGGUGCUGUAAG